This 253-nucleotide ribosomal RNA is filed under the name uncultured bacterium. RNAcentral describes it as "partial 16S ribosomal RNA". It matches the Rfam family "Bacterial small subunit ribosomal RNA", at positions 524 to 776 of the family's 1533-position model. The record is from RNAcentral.
UACGUAGGGUCCGAGCGUUGUCCGGAAUUAUUGGGCGUAAAGGGCUCGUAGGCGGUUCGUCACGUCGGGAGUGAAAACUCGGAGCUUAACUCCGAGCCUGCUUCCGAUACGGGCAGACUAGAGGUAGGCAGGGGAGAGCGGAACUCCUGGUGUAGCGGUGGAAUGCGCAGAUAUCAGGAGGAACACCGGUGGCGAAGGCGGGUCUCUGGGCAGUAACUGACGCUGAGGAGCGAAAGCGUGGGGAGCGAACAGG